RNAcentral lists this long non-coding RNA (1609 nucleotides) under Mus musculus (house mouse). RNAcentral's name for it is "long non-coding RNA chr13:85200114-85201723". The record is from RNAcentral. Lineage: Eukaryota; Metazoa; Chordata; Mammalia; Rodentia; Muridae.
UGUUAUUCUUAUACACCUGGGGUGUUUUAUAAUUAGCAUUUUGUUACUAAGUAGAAAAAACAUACUCUAACAUAAAAACUAACUUUUUGCUAGUAAGUAUAAAACAUACACUCUAAAAUAAAUGAAAAGUGUAUGGUGCAGCUAGAACAUAAAGCAGUACCAUGGUUAUCAUUUUUUCAAAAUUCUGUAAUGUACAUACCGUGUCUUACACUGAAGCAUAGACUUGUUUCCAUAAGCAUCACUGCAAGCAUGGUCCUCGUGACGCUGGUGUGGUACUGAAUGGCGGGGAUGCUCGGAUGCUUUGGAAGCUUGCAGAACUCAUGCCUCUUAUUCAUUACUGAAAGAAAAAAUGGUUUGUACAAUAGAACUUGUAUAUGUAACUUGGAUUAAACUUUUUUUUUUCUUUGAAUUGGAAAGGUAAAAUGAAAGAAAUGUUGGGUGUAGACAUGUUUAGUUUUCUAGAAGAGAUUGACACACUUAAGUACUGAUCCAAUGAGCUAGCAAUAAGAAAAAGUUAAAGGGAAAUAGAGACUGUAUAGCAGAGCUUUAGACUCUACGAACAAUAUAAAGGAGGUUAGCAUGGGGUUUGAAAUAGGGUACAGCUGGCCGUAGAGAAGGUGUAAGCUCUUGUGUUGACACAAGACAGAGUGAGUCUGGGUGAAAAUACUAUUGUAUCUGGGGAUUUAAUGGAAAUAGUCUUAUCCUUAUUAAGUGCAGAGAUAAUUUUCCAUAGAAUGAUGGUUUUUUUGAGACUUACUCAAAUGAAAGAACAAAUUUUCUAGGAAGACAUCAUUGUUAGGCUAAGAGACACACCUAGGUCAGUGAAUUUGAAUUUAUAGUAGUAUCCCAAAACCUCUUUUGUAGAGUUUUCUGCCAAUGCCCAGAAAUCAAAAGUAUAGAAAUUAGAUUCAGAUGCUGUUGAAACUGAGGCUGAAGAGAUUGCUUAUCAGUUAAAGAAUGCGUGCUCUCUUCCAAAGUUCAUCGACAUCUGGUGGUUCAAAAUUGCCCAUAACUCCAGCUUCAGAAGAACGGACACCCCUUACUGUUUAUAUGUGCACUGUGCACAUAUUACACACAUUCACAGACAGACAGACAGACAUAAAUAAAAAUAAAUAUGUAUAUAUAAAUAAAUAAAUAUCUGUAUACAUACAUAUAUGUGUGUAUGUAUAUAUACAUAUGUUUAUAUAUUUAUACAGCAAAGAAAUUAUUGAAGACUCUAGUAAAUCUGAUCAGGUUGAAGACUUCAAAACCAAAUGGUGCAAGAUUUACAAGAACAUCAUGAAAAAUUAAGAGAAUCCUGAGAAAGGGGGAGUGACUACAUUUAUCAUUUCAGAGGUUAGAUAUUUGGGGACAAUGACUAGGCCUAUGUGGGACUCUGUAGUUGAACCUGAUAUAUUUUAUUUCAGAAUAUUUAUAGAUUGUCUUACUACUAGGAUUUGGCAAUGAGUAUCUAAAGCCAGUCUGAGGGCUCAAAAUUUAAGGAAAGGCCGGGUGUGGUGGUGCACACCUUUAAUCCCAGCACUUGGGAGGCAGUUCAAGGCCAGCCUGGUCUACAAAGUGAGUUCCAGGAUAGCCAAGGCUACACAGAGAAACCCUGUCUCGAAAAACC